GCCCCCGUAGCUCAAUAGGAUAGAGCGCACCCCUCCUAAGGGUGAGGUUGCCCGUUCAAUUCGGGCCGGGGGCGCCA
Molecule: transfer RNA, 77 nt
Filed under: Nevskia sp.
Lineage: Bacteria; Pseudomonadati; Pseudomonadota; Gammaproteobacteria; Nevskiales; Nevskiaceae
Description: tRNA-Arg
Source: RNAcentral